GAUCCUGGCUCAGAUUGAACGCUGGCGGCAUGCUUUACACAUGCAAGUCGGACGGCAGCACAGAGAAGCUUGCUUCUUGGGUGGCGAGUGGCGAACGGGUGAGUAAUAUAUCGGAACGUACCGAGCAGUGGGGGAUAACUAAUCGAAAGAUUAGCUAAUACCGCAUAUCUUCUGAGGAAGAAAGCAGGGGACCAUUUGGCCUUGCGCUGUUUGAGCGGCCGAUAU
This 225-nucleotide ribosomal RNA is filed under the name uncultured bacterium. RNAcentral's name for it is "partial 16S ribosomal RNA". It matches the Rfam family "Bacterial small subunit ribosomal RNA", at positions 15 to 236 of the family's 1533-position model. The record is from RNAcentral.